AUUGAACGCUGGCGGCAGGCUUAACACAUGCAAGUCGAACGGUAGCAGGAAGAAGCUUGCUUCUUUGCUGACGAGUGGCGGACGGGUGAGUAAUGUAUGGGGAUCUGCCGAUGGAGUGGGAUAACUGCUGGAAACGGUAGCUAAUACCGCAUGAUGUCGAAAGACCAAAGCAUGGGACCUUCGGGCCAUGCGCCAUUUGAUGAACCCAUAUGGGAUUAGCUAGUUGGUGGGGUAAUGGCCUACCAAGGCGACGAUCUCUAGCUGGUCUGAGAGGAUGGCCAGCCACACUGGGACUGAGACACGGCCCAGACUCUUACGGGAGGCAGCAGUGGGGAAUAUUGCACAAUGGGGGAAACCCUGAUGCAGCCAUGCCGCGUGUAUGAAGAAGGCCUUAGGGUUGUAAAGUACUUUCGUGGAGGAGGAAUGCUUAGCAUCUAAUAGGUGCUGAAAUUGACGUUACUCCAAGAAGAAGCACCGGCUAACUCCGUGCCAGCCGCCGCCGUAA
RNAcentral lists this ribosomal RNA (505 nucleotides) under uncultured bacterium. RNAcentral's name for it is "partial 16S ribosomal RNA". It matches the Rfam family "Bacterial small subunit ribosomal RNA", at positions 30 to 523 of the family's 1533-position model. The record is from RNAcentral.